Ornithorhynchus anatinus (platypus) is the source of this 85-nucleotide non-coding RNA. RefSeq annotates it as microRNA mir-1421y-3. The record is from RefSeq and is marked provisional. The transcript has a single exon. NCBI's taxonomy places the organism in Eukaryota, Metazoa, Chordata, Mammalia, Monotremata, Ornithorhynchidae.
AUGGCACGGUGUGAGGAGGGCACAUGUGGUACAGUGUGAUAGUGGAAUAUGCUGCAUCAUGCGUGACCUCCCCACAUCGUGUUGU